RNAcentral lists this non-coding RNA (48 nucleotides) under Schistosoma mattheei. The record is from RNAcentral. Lineage: Eukaryota; Metazoa; Platyhelminthes; Trematoda; Strigeidida; Schistosomatidae.
AUCCAGCUGACGAGUCCCUAAUAGGAUGAAACACGCGUUAAACUGAAU